Macaca mulatta (Rhesus monkey) is the source of this 2930-nucleotide long non-coding RNA. RefSeq lists it as uncharacterized. NCBI's taxonomy places the organism in Eukaryota, Metazoa, Chordata, Mammalia, Primates, Cercopithecidae. The record is from RefSeq and is a predicted model, not a curated record.
CCUCUUUUUUUUGUCAUCUGAAAUAUUACUUGUCAUUAUUGGGGGACUUGAGGCUGAUCGAUGAAGUGUAUAUAUGUCUGUCGGACAUUUGAAGAGGAAAAACAUGCUUCAGGAAUAAGGAAAAUGUCUGCAGUGAAAGCAAAGGGUUAGGAUGAGCCUCAGUGACUGACGAGUUCAUUUCAAAAUCCAAGGGCACAUAGAUGGUAAAUUAGUACAUAUUGCAAAUACAGUCAACGAGCAAACCCCAGCCACUGGAAGGAAAGGGAAUGUUAGUACCGUAGUCAUCACACGCCUGAACAGAGUGUCUGCGUAUCUUAAAUGUAGAUCUGAAUCAUUGCUCUUUUAUCCCGCUAAAUGCUGAUUGCAAAGAAAUGUUUGGGCAUUGUUGACUUUCUGUCCAUAAAGAAAAGUCAGGAAGAUUCACAGAAUCCAUCACCUGCACUCGUACAUGCAUGUGUGCUUUAAAUUCCCCUAGGAUGUGAAACAAUUAGGCAGAGAAACUGCACUGUGGUCUCCCUUCCUCACUUCUUUCCCUCCCUGUUUUGCCUUUUCGAAAAUGUGAUACCUGAUCUCUAGGUCUAGCAGGCUGAGAAAUUUUUUGUAUUUGUAUAAUACGGUGUCUGGCCUUCCCCCUGACCUGCUGAUGUAUUUUUGGCCUCAUUAGUAGUCAGGGAGAUGCCUUAGUGCAUCCAGCACUGCAAGUCAGGGAUGAAACACACUACAACAGAGAGAGGGAGCAAGCGCGAGAGGAUAUUAGAAGAGAGGCUUGUCUCCAAGAUAUGGAAGGAAGUGAGAAAUGACAAGGCUGCAAGCUUUGUAUGUAGGAGACCGGCAGGGCGGGGGAGCGGCGAGGAGAGCCAAGUGGAUUCUCAGAAAAGGGGGGAAGCCAUCGAAGAGCUAAAGGUGAUUAGAGGGGGAUAUUGAUUUCUUAUUCUGCCAGAGAUUUAAGCAGGCAUGCGAGGAAUCUGCACCAUGGUUGGCAAAAGGAGACCCGUUGCCUCCUGUAACCAGACACUCGGGCUUUCCAGGAGCCCAGGGAGCAAGCCGAGAAGAAAGGGGGCAGUGUGGUCUAGGAAAAUUCAACUUGUCGCUGAUUUGUGCCUGAUGCCUGCUGUCCGUCAGCAGCCUCCCUUACAAUCUUUUUUUCUCUCUCUCCCUUUUUUUUCCCUUGCCUUCUCCUUCUUCACUGAAGCCUAGGGGAGCCAGUAAAGAUUAAAUGUGCUUCUCAAAGGCAGCCACUUCAUGCUGCUAUGUCGAAAGGGCCAUUAUUAUUAUUAUAUUUUAAUAGUAAAAGAGAAAGGGAGAGAGGUUGAGCGAGCGAGAGAGAAGCUAGGUGUGAUGAUGACAGACUAGCUUUUCUGAGAGGAAAAGGAAAAGGGAAGGGAGAGAAAAAGGAGAGCCCCUGAGCUCAACGGAGGAUUGUGCCUGAGAAGAACCUACAGAGGCCUGGAAUAAAAGAAGAACAAGAAGAAGAAAGAAAUGAAAUGAAAAACAGAAAGAAAAAGGAGAAGAAACAUUUGAAACAGGGUCAUCUUCCCAUCCGCCUCCUCUCCUUUUCCUUUCAUUUUUGGAGGCGGCACAGGAAAGCCCCACUUCCAGUCUGAUGAGGAAAGCGACAAUCUAUCAGGUACAGAACCAGGGGCUGUCUGCGAAGAUGGAGGGGAAUUAUGCUUCGGAUUCCUCUGAAAUAUUGGCCAAAGGCUUCAAAGAAUCCGCAGCGGGAGGUGCGGGGGGAAUGUCUCUCCCCAGCCCGCACCCAGCCCUUCCCACUUCGCGUCUACCAAAUGACAGCCUGGUGCUCGCUCUUGGUGAUUUGGCCUUGACUUCAGCCAAGCAGCUGAUGCAGACGAAGGCUCCGUUUGCAGGACUGGCAAAGUGCACGCUAAAGAAAGAAGGAAGAAAUUUUUCAGAAAGCAGCUCUGGGGAGGUUUCAUACUCCCUUUUUUUUUUUUUUUUUAAUUUUUAAGUGAAUAUUUUCCAAAUUUGAUCAGUUCCAGCCCCUCCCUCCACUCCCACCCAACUGCCCUUUUUUCUCUCGUCAAAGCAUAAGCUACAGAGUUACAGUCUCGAGAUUUGGUGUAUCGCUUCCUGCCCCCGCCUCCCCUCCCCGCCCCCGUUCUCCGUCCUCUAUUGAAACACCUCGCCCAGCCUAGCGCACUGAGAGCUCUCAUUUCCCCCCCUUGCUCGGGAUGGUGCCACAGGAGGCUGUGCGGGCCCCGCUCUGCUUCGAAUGGAUAACCCUCCUUCCUCCACCUCACAAAAGCUCACAAGCUGCAACCCUUCUGAUGUCCGCUCCCACACGAGCCAGCUUCAGGCCUUUUUCAAGUUCUGUAGGUCAGAAUUCUGACAUGGAUCUCACUGGGCUAAAACCAAGCUGUUGGCAUGGCUGAAUUCCUUCUGGAAACUCUAAUGUGACUGGAGUGAUUUGCACCCGGAUGCCUAGACUCGCCAUCUGCUCAAAGAUUGCUCAGAAAGCCCUCUCAUGCAUUCCCCUGCUGCAUACCAGCCCACUCUGCCUGCAGCUGCUGUCUGCAGGACUUCACAUCUACGCCACACUGUUUAAAAGCUGUGCUUCAAGAAAUCACAAAAACAUAUGACUGCACCUACUACACAGCCUAAAUGCGGCAUAAGUUGACCUUGCUUUCUAAGAAGUGGGGCAAGAAAUGCUUUUUUGUGUGUGUCAUGUCUGUUUGUUUUUCAAUUAAGAGAGGAAAGCAUUAGGCAGAUGGAAUGUACAUGCGAGGAUGAGGAGACAGAAAACAAGUAGCCCUUUCCAUCAAGAUAAAGAGUUUUCUGGGGUCGCUGGCUCUUGAAUGUCACUCCUGAUUUCUCUUUCCAAGGCACUGUACCACCAGCCUACUGAGAUUGUGUGGGAGCUUUCAUGGGGGUUAUAUUUCACUAAUGGAAAUAAAUUUUGUGCAUAAUCUGAA